UACGUAGGGCGCAAGCGUUAUCCGGAAUUAUUGGGCGUAAAGAGCUCGUAGGCGGUUUGUCGCGUCUGCCGUGAAAGUCCGGGGCUUAACCCCGGAUCUGCGGUGGGUACGGGCAGACUAGAGUGCAGUAGGGGAGACUGGAAUUCCUGGUGUAGCGGUGAAAUGCGCAGAUAUCAGGAGGAACAUCGAUGGCGAAGGCAGGUCUCUGGGCUGUAACUGACGCUGAGGAGCGAAAGCAUGGGGAGCGAACAGG
RNAcentral lists this ribosomal RNA (253 nucleotides) under uncultured bacterium. RNAcentral describes it as "partial 16S ribosomal RNA". It matches the Rfam family "Bacterial small subunit ribosomal RNA", at positions 524 to 776 of the family's 1533-position model. The record is from RNAcentral.